This 305-nucleotide ribosomal RNA is filed under the name uncultured bacterium. RNAcentral describes it as "bacterial SSU rRNA". It matches the Rfam family "Bacterial small subunit ribosomal RNA", at positions 334 to 634 of the family's 1533-position model. The record is from RNAcentral.
UUUGCCUACGGGAGGCAGCAGUGAGGAAUAUUGGUCAAUGGGAGAGAUCCUGAACCAGCCAAGUAGCGUGCAGGAUGACGGCCCUCCGGGUUGUAAACUGCUUUUAGUUGGGAAUAAAAGGGGGCUCGUGAGCCCCGUAUUGUAUGUACCAUCAGAAAAAGGACCGGCUAAUUCCGUGCCAGCAGCCGCGGUAAUACGGAAGGUCCGGGCGUUAUCCGGAUUUAUUGGGUUUAAAGGGAGCGUAGGCCGGCUUUUAAGUCAGCUGUGAAAGUCCGCGGCUCAACCGUGGAAUUGCAGUUGAAACU